GAUGAAGUACGUAGCGAAAUGCGAUAAGUAAUGUGAAUUGCAGAAUUCAGUGAAUCAUCGAGUCUUUGAACGCACAUUGCGCCCCCUGGUAUUCCGGGGGGCAUGCCUGUCCGAGCGUCAUUGCCGCCCUCAAGCACGGCUUGUGUGUUGGGCCCCCGCCCCCCGGCUUCGGGGGGCGGGCCCGAAAGGCAGCGGCGGCACCGCGUCCGGUCCUCGAGCGUAUGGGGCUUCGUCACCCGCUCUGUAGGCCCGGCCGGCGCCCGCCGGCGACCCCAAUCAAUCUUUCCAGGUUGACCUCGGAUCAGGUAGGGAUACCCGCUGAACUUAAGCAUAUCAAUAAGCGGAGGA
Molecule: unclassified non-coding RNA, 348 nt
Filed under: soil metagenome
Description: partial contains 5.8S ribosomal RNA, internal transcribed spacer 2, and large subunit ribosomal RNA
Rfam family: 5.8S ribosomal RNA (bases 1-120)
Source: RNAcentral